ACAAAUGUUAAGAAAUAGAUGUACUGUAUAAAAUGCAUUAUAAAUUCAUCAAUAUAGAAUAACUACGGAUGGGUACACAUGUACUGUGGAGAUGAAACAUUUUGAUGGCACUGAUGGUUAUUUAAUAUUCCUUCAUCGAAAACAUUUAUUAAUAUUUAUGAGAUUACUUAAUAUGUACAGUAAUUUUAUUACAGCUACUGCUUGUAGUUCUGUGGUUCCUGAUGGUCACAAAUAGAGAAGCCUUCUCGAGUAGACCAGUGUAUCCCUUAUCCAGCAUCCAUAAUAUUUGGACUGCUGAAGAAUGACUGUCGUUUUUUUGUA
This is a long non-coding RNA of Patiria miniata (bat star), 321 nucleotides long. RefSeq lists it as uncharacterized. The record is from RefSeq and is a predicted model, not a curated record. The transcript has 2 exons. Lineage: Eukaryota; Metazoa; Echinodermata; Asteroidea; Valvatida; Asterinidae.